Molecule: ribosomal RNA, 374 nt
Filed under: uncultured bacterium
Lineage: Bacteria
Description: bacterial SSU rRNA
Rfam family: Bacterial small subunit ribosomal RNA
Source: RNAcentral
UACGUAGGGUGCAAGCGUUAAUCGGAAUUACUGGGCGUAAAGCGUGCGCAGGCGGUUUUGUAAGACAGGCGUGAAAUCCCCGGGCUCAACCUGGGAAUUGCGCUUGUGACUGCAAGGCUGGAGUGCGGCAGAGGGGGAUGGAAUUCCGCGUGUAGCAGUGAAAUGCGUAGAUAUGCGGAGGAACACCAAUGGCGAAGGCAAUCCCCUGGGCCUGUACUGACGCUCAUGCACGAAAGCGUGGGGAGCAAACAGGAUUAGAUACCCUGGUAGUCCACGCCCUAAACGAUGUCAACUGGUUGUUGGACGGCUUGCUGUUCAGUAACGAAGCUAACGCGUGAAGUUGACCGCCUGGGGAGUACGGCCGCAAGGUUGAA